RNAcentral lists this ribosomal RNA (184 nucleotides) under uncultured bacterium. RNAcentral describes it as "partial 16S ribosomal RNA". It matches the Rfam family "Bacterial small subunit ribosomal RNA", at positions 1319 to 1500 of the family's 1533-position model. The record is from RNAcentral.
CAUGAAGCUGGAAUUGCUGUAAUGGCAGGUCAGCAUACUGCCGUGAAUACGUUCCCCGGGGCCCUUGUACACACCGCCCGUCACACCAUGAGAGUUGGGAAUACCCGAAGCCUGUGAGCUAACUUUUAGAGGCAGCAGUCGAAGGUAGAAUCAAUGAUUGGGGGUGAAGUCGUAACAAGGUAGC